RNAcentral lists this long non-coding RNA (1318 nucleotides) under Ricinus communis (castor bean). RNAcentral's name for it is "long non-coding RNA (RCOM_LNC003163)". The record is from RNAcentral. Lineage: Eukaryota; Viridiplantae; Streptophyta; Magnoliopsida; Malpighiales; Euphorbiaceae.
CGGGUGUUACAUUCUCCCCCCCUUAAAAAAAAAUUCGACCUCGAAUUUUAAAAGAAAAGGGGCUUCACUUACGACUGAACUAAUUAGGAACCUCUCAUCUCCAACCCGGCUUCUCGGAAACUUUUCCUCGGCAGAAAUAAAUCACAAGACUCAUCGACAAAACCCUUAAAUAAAACUGGUGAACCUGAAAAUCCGCGAUUCUCACUUACUACUCCUCGGAAACCAAAUCUUCACUUGCUUCCACACACUAAGGGUCCAACACGAGCAAAGGAUCGAAAAAAAAUACUUCCUCAACUCAGACCUACGAACAACUGGAUUUAACCUCAGAGAACAUUACUAAUACUUGGCGGCAAGUCCAACUUACAUGCCACCUCACCAACCUGCCGACAAAACCAAGGGUUCUCACAACCUUAUUUUCUUACCAAACCACAUCACUUAUGACAUACCAUCCAUCUAGUUUCCAUAACCGACACAACUCAUGCCAUCCUGACACAAGAUUCCCCCUUGACUAAAAUCCAAAAACCUCCUUAUAAUCCAACGUGGGACUUACAGCUCCACAGACUUACUCUCUUAACAACUCAACUCGUCAUCCAGAGAAUUCUCAAGCUAACACUAUUUACUUUGAAAAAUUUACUUAUUUAUUUACUUUAUAAUCAUCACUGAUAAAAGCUUUAUUAUCUUGGAAAAAAUACUUUUAUAAAAUCGUAAAAUAUUUAGCCAUUUCUUUAUAUAAAAUUCUACAAUAUCGCGCACCAGGGUGAUGAUGCCCCUAUCACCAAGGGUUGCAAUGCACAAUGUAUGAUGCAUGUCCUAAAAUGAAUUUAUGUAUGCCUAACAGUGAGAUGCCAUAUGCAUUCUUACGGGACUGGGCGCAAUAUUGUAUUUUAAAACACUUGUCCUACUUAGAAAAAUAAAUAAUGUUCGCUUAAGUUUCUCUGGAUUCUGAGCGUCCGAAAACACUCCUACCACCUUUCUUAAGCUUCUUACAAUCACCAACUCAACCAUAACAGCCGACAUCCGCUCGACUUCCCAGGCACUAACUUCGGCACUACUCAAUAAGGCGAUGCCUGAUGCGAUGACGAGGCAGCUCAUGACAUGACUGCAACCACGCUCUACACUAAAACUGACUGCGGUGCCGACCAUCGAAACAACAAUCAAAGCUUCUAAAGGCGGACUGCACUAAUCACUUGAAGAAACAGCACGAGUCUAUCGCGCUUCGGAUCCUCCCAUCGCUACAGAGCUCAAUCUCAGCACAGCACCAAAAACAAGCUCACAAGAAAGGAAAGACUGACUCUCUAACAGUAAAGGCUGAGACACU